Molecule: long non-coding RNA, 444 nt
Organism: Tupaia belangeri chinensis (Chinese tree shrew)
Lineage: Eukaryota; Metazoa; Chordata; Mammalia; Scandentia; Tupaiidae
Exons: 4
Source: RefSeq, a predicted model, not a curated record
AAAAAAUACAAAAUACAAAAUACAGAAAGUGAGGCUAUGAACUUGACAAGAAUCACCUAGACAAGGACAAGUCACCACCUCGGCAUGACCCUUCCUGACUUCAUCUUUCAAAGCAGCCAGAUGUCCCAUGGUAUAACCUCUAAGUUGAAGGGGCACGAUGAACAAAACAACGUGAGAUUAAAUUGAGCACAGGAGAUGAUGAUGCAAUCAAGAGACAAGGGAGACAGGAGAUGCACGAGGCAGCCACCGGCACGGCGUAGUGUCCUGCUCGUCAGGAAACGUUUUGGAUACAAAGAUGAGGGUGAGGAAGACGCAGACUCUGGCCCAGAAAGAGGAGAGCAGCAGAGUGGGCUGGCAGAACUUGUGACCAGUUUCCAUCUUGAAGAAUGGGUAACAGAUUUUACUUAAGAGAAGGGGAGCACUAUCGGAUGAGUUGUAGAGGUA